CUGGAAAUGUCACUCAGUGGUAAGAGUGCUUGCCUAGAAUGCAUGAGGUCCUGGGUUCAAUCUCCAGUACUGAAA
RNAcentral lists this transfer RNA (75 nucleotides) under Marmota monax (woodchuck). Its description in RNAcentral is "tRNA.Ser". The stretch from base 8 to 69 matches the Rfam family "tRNA", at positions 6 to 65 of the family's 71-position model. From Rfam's summary of the family: Transfer RNA (tRNA) molecules are approximately 80 nucleotides in length. Their secondary structure includes four short double-helical elements and three loops (D, anti-codon, and T loops). Further hydrogen bonds mediate the characteristic L-shaped molecular structure. tRNAs have two regions of fundamental functional importance: the anti-codon, which is responsible for specific mRNA codon recognition, and the 3' end, to which the tRNAs corresponding amino acid is attached (by aminoacyl-tRNA synthetases). tRNAs cope with the degeneracy of the genetic code in two manners: having more than one tRNA (with a specific anti-codon) for a particular amino acid; and 'wobble' base-pairing, i.e. permitting non-standard base-pairing at the 3rd anti-codon position. The record is from RNAcentral. Lineage: Eukaryota; Metazoa; Chordata; Mammalia; Rodentia; Sciuridae.